GAUGAACGCUGGCGGCGUGCCUAAUACAUGCAAGUCGAGCGAACGGACGAGAAGCUUGCUUCUCUGAUGUUAGCGGCGGACGGGUGAGUAACACGUGGAUAACCUACCUAUAAGACUGGGAUAACUUCGGGAAACCGGAGCUAAUACCGGAUAAUAUUUUGAACCGCAUGGUUCAAAAGUGAAAGACGGUCUUGCUGUCACUUAUAGAUGGAUCCGCGCUGCAUUAGCUAGUUGGUAAGGUAACGGCUUACCAAGGCAACGAUGCAAAGCCGACCUGAGAGGGUGAUCGGCCACACUGGAACUGAGACACGGUCCAGACUCCUACGGGAGGCAGCAGUAGGGAAUCUUCCGCAAUGGGCGAAAGCCUGACGGAGCAACGCCGCGUGAGUGAUGAAGGUCUUCGGAUCGUAAAACUCUGUUAUUAGGGAAGAACACAUGUGUAAGUAACUGUGCACAUCUUGACGGUACCUAAUCAGAAAGCCACGGCUAACUACGUG
RNAcentral lists this ribosomal RNA (497 nucleotides) under uncultured bacterium. RNAcentral's name for it is "partial 16S ribosomal RNA". It matches the Rfam family "Bacterial small subunit ribosomal RNA", at positions 28 to 507 of the family's 1533-position model. The record is from RNAcentral.